RNAcentral lists this ribosomal RNA (502 nucleotides) under uncultured bacterium. RNAcentral's name for it is "partial 16S ribosomal RNA". It matches the Rfam family "Bacterial small subunit ribosomal RNA", at positions 30 to 523 of the family's 1533-position model. The record is from RNAcentral.
AUUGAACGCUGGCGGCAGGCUUAACACAUGCAAGUCGAGCGGGGUGAUGGUGCUUGCACUAUCACUUAGCGGCGGACGGGUGAGUAAUGCUUAGGAAUCUGCCUAUUAGUGGGGGACAACAUCUCGAAAGGGAUGCUAAUACCGCAUACGUCCUACGGGAGAAAGCAGGGGAUCACUUGUGACCUUGCGCUAAUAGAUGAGCCUAAGUCGGAUUAGCUAGUUGGUGGGGUAAGGCCUACCAAGGCGACGAUCUGUAGCGGGUCUGAGAGGAUGAUCCGCCACACUGGGACUGAGACACGGCCCAGACUCCUACGGGAGGCAGCAGUGGGGAAUAUUGGACAAUGGGGGGAAACCUGAUCCAGCCAUGCCGCGUGUGUGAAGAAGGCCUUAUGGUUGUAAAGCACUUUAAGCGAGGAGGAGGCUCUUUUGGUUAAUACCCAAGAUGAGUGGACGUUACUCGCAGAAUAAGGACCGGCUAACUACGUGCCAGCCGCCGCGGUAA